GUGUCAGCCGCCGCGGUAAUACGUAGGGGGCUAGCGUUGUCCGGAAUCAUUGGGCGUAAAGCGCGUGUAGGCGGCUUGGUAAGUCCGUUCUGAAAGCCUGGGGCUCAACCCCAGGAGGCGGAUGGAUACUGUCAAGCUCGAGUCCGGAAGAGGCAAGUGGAAUUCCCGGUGUAGCGGUGAAAUGCGCAGAUAUCGGGAGGAACACCAAUGGCGAAGGCAGCUUGCUGGGACGGUACUGACGCUGAGACGCGAAAGCGUGGGGAGCAAACAGGAUUAGAUACCCUGGUAGUCCACGCCGUAAACGAUGGACACUAGGUGUGGGGGGUGUCGACUCCCUCCGUGCCGAAGCUAACGCAUUAAGUGUCCCGCCUGGGGAGUACGGCCGCAAGGCUAAA
Molecule: ribosomal RNA, 395 nt
Filed under: uncultured bacterium
Lineage: Bacteria
Description: bacterial SSU rRNA
Rfam family: Bacterial small subunit ribosomal RNA
Source: RNAcentral